AUUUGAAUUUUCGUAUCCAAUCUUUCAAUUAUUUGAUUUACAUAAUUUAAAGGUUCUGCGAAUGCAAAAUUUUAUUAAUUACAUAUUUUAAUAAAUUUAUAGUUAUAUAAAUUAUAUAAAAUAUACUAGCUAAACACAUAAAAAUAAACAAUACAUUUAAAUUUUAAAGUUAAAAAAUCACUAAUCAGCUUAAAUCAAAUAAAUUAAAGGGGAAACUUCAAAAACCCCCCCUGUGGUUUCGUGCAUUCUCACUUUGCUACCCUGUGGUUUAAAACGUAUCAAUUUGCCCCCCUGUGGUUUCAUUUUUAUCUUUUUGUUAUCAAUUUUAUUAUUAUUUUUUUUUAAAAUCAGUGACAAAGUUAAAAUUAAAGGAUACUAAAGUGACUAUUCGAUAAAUAUAGAUGGUUAUCUGAAGUUUUUUGUAUAUAAUUUAACGAAAUAUUAACGAACAAGCUUCCGAAAAGAUAAAAAUGAAACCACAGGGGGGUAAAUUGAUACGUUUUAAACCACAGGGUAGCAAAGUGAGAAUGCACGAAACCACAGGGGGUUUUUUUGAAGUUUUCCCUAAAUUAAAAUGUGAGGUGGUAAAGCCAAAAUUUUUAAGGGUUAGAUAGUCAAUCCAAAUGGGUGAUAAUUGAAAUAAGUUUUAUACAUUUAUACAUAAAAAUAAUAGUAGUUAGUUAUAGACUUUCAUAUUAUACAUGAGCACAAUAACAUAAGUUUUUUAAAAAUUUAUUAAUUAAAGAGUUAUUUUUUGGAUAAUUUGCAUAAAAAAUUUAUUAUUUUUGAGUUUUUGCAAAAGUAGACCGUCAUUUUAAAUUUUGCAGAUUCGGACCGAAUUUUUAGAAAACUGACCAAAAUACUCUUACUCUCUUUUUUUUCUUCUUUUCUUUCUCUUGUUCUUUUUGUCUCUCCAACCUUCCUCCACCGCCUCUAUUGUUACGUCCCUGAUUACCACAUUUUUCCGGGCACGCCAACAGACCCACUGUACACAUAGAAAUUUUUCGUAUAUACGAAGCCAUAGCUGUACCUGUAAACAAAUCAUAGCUACAACCAGAAGUAUAGAGCUGCUAAAACUGAAACACGUACACACACACACACACACACACACACACAUAUAUAUAUAAACAUACUAAGCCCACUGUACAUACAAUAUCCAAAAUACAACCUUGACUCAAAGAGUACAACAAAACAUAACAGUAUGUACAUGAUAACAUCCCAAAACUACCUUUGAAUGGGAUACUCCUCUAGCACAGUGACCAAGGAAGGUAGGGAUUUAGCUCGCGACUUCCUUGCCAAAGUCAGAAUCAACAGCAGCGGCAGCAGCAGACGGCUCUGCAAAAAGGUGGCAACAAUUGGGUAUGAGAACUACUGCAAAACAAAGUAGUCCUUAGUGGAUAUCGUCACCGACCCCAAC
This 1417-nucleotide long non-coding RNA is filed under the name Ananas comosus (pineapple). RNAcentral describes it as "long non-coding RNA (ACOM_LNC019552)". Lineage: Eukaryota; Viridiplantae; Streptophyta; Magnoliopsida; Poales; Bromeliaceae. The record is from RNAcentral.